UUCGGCUUUGGGCUGCGGAUCUCCAGAAGCAGCUGUGAGGAGCCCCGGCCUUACUCUGGCCUGUGCUACCAUGAUUCCUUGUGUCAUGGGCUCUCUCAGUGCCCUGGGUGCUCUCCUGCUGCUUGCAUGCCAGCUCGUCUGCCCACAGCCCUCCACUGAACACAGAAAGGUCCCACAGCGGCCCCCCGAGGACGAUGACGGCCUG
Molecule: long non-coding RNA, 205 nt
Organism: Dipodomys ordii (Ord's kangaroo rat)
Lineage: Eukaryota; Metazoa; Chordata; Mammalia; Rodentia; Heteromyidae
Exons: 3
Source: RefSeq, a predicted model, not a curated record